RNAcentral lists this ribosomal RNA (504 nucleotides) under uncultured bacterium. RNAcentral describes it as "bacterial SSU rRNA". It matches the Rfam family "Bacterial small subunit ribosomal RNA", at positions 28 to 489 of the family's 1533-position model. The record is from RNAcentral.
GACGAACGCUGGCGGCGUGCCUAAUACAUGCAAGUCGAACGCACUCUCGUUUAGAUUGAAGGAGCUUGCUCCUGAUUGAUAAACAUUUGAGUGAGUGGCGGACGGGUGAGUAACACGUGGGUAACCUGCCCUAAAGUGGGGGAUAACAUUUGGAAACAGAUGCUAAUACCGCAUAAAACCUAACACCGCAUGGUGUAGGGUUGAAAGAUGGUUUCGGCUAUCACUUUAGGAUGGACCCGCGGUGCAUUAGUUAGUUGGUGAGGUAAAGGCUCACCAAGACCGUGAUGCAUAGCCGACCUGAGAGGGUAAUCGGCCACACUGGGACUGAGACACGGCCCAGACUCCUACGGGAGGCAGCAGUAGGGAAUCUUCCACAAUGGACGAAAGUCUGAUGGAGCAACGCCGCGUGAGUGAAGAAGGUUUUACGGAUCGUAAAACUCUAGUUGUUGGAGAAGAAUGUAUCUGAUAGUAACUGAUCAGGUAGUGACGGUAUCCAACCAGAAA